RNAcentral lists this ribosomal RNA (444 nucleotides) under uncultured bacterium. RNAcentral describes it as "bacterial SSU rRNA". It matches the Rfam family "Bacterial small subunit ribosomal RNA", at positions 958 to 1397 of the family's 1533-position model. The record is from RNAcentral.
AACGCGAAGAACCUUACCAGCUCUUGACAUGGUGAUUUUGGAUUUCAGAGAUGAAGUCCUUCGGUUCGGCCGGGUCACACACAGGUGCUGCAUGGCUGUCGUCAGCUCGUGUCGUGAGAUGUUGGGUUAAGUCCCGCAACGAGCGCAACCCUCAUCGUUAAUUGCCAUCAGGUUGGGCUGGGCACUUUAACGAAACCGCCGGUGAUAAGCCGGAGGAAGGUGGGGAUGACGUCAAGUCCUCAUGGCCCUUAUGGGCUGGGCUACACACGUACUACAAUGGCGGUGACAAUGGGCAGCGAUAGGGCGACCUUGAGCGAAUCCAGAAAAAGCCGUCUCAGUUCGGAUUGUUCUCUGCAACUCGAGAGCAUGAAGUCGGAAUCGCUAGUAAUCGCGCAUCAGCAUGGCGCGGUGAAUACGUUCACGGGCCUUGUACACACCGCGAGC